AACGAACGCUGGCGGCAGGCUUAACACAUGCAAGUCGAACGGGUGUAGCAAUACAUCAGUGGCAGACGGGUGAGUAACACGUGGGAACCUUCCUAGGGGUACGGAACAACUCAGGGAAACUUGAGCUAAUACCGUAUACGUCCGUGAGGAGAAAGAUUUAUCGCCCUUAGACGGGCCCGCGUCGGAUUAGCUAGUUGGUGGGGUAACGGCCUACCAAGGCGACGAUCCGUAGCUGAUCUUAGAGGAUGAUCAGCCACACUGGGACUGAGACACGGCCCAGACUCCUACGGGAGGCAGCAGUGGGGAAUCUUGGACAAUGGGCGCAAGCCUGAUCCAGCCAUGCCGCGUGAGUGAAGAAGGUCUUCGGAUUGUAAAGCUCUUUUGCCAGGGACGAUAAUGACGGUACCUGGAGAAUAAGCCCCGGCAAACUUCGUGCCAGCAGCCGCGGUAAAGUCUGUACU
RNAcentral lists this ribosomal RNA (461 nucleotides) under uncultured bacterium. RNAcentral describes it as "bacterial SSU rRNA". It matches the Rfam family "Bacterial small subunit ribosomal RNA", at positions 29 to 531 of the family's 1533-position model. The record is from RNAcentral.